Sciurus vulgaris (Eurasian red squirrel) is the source of this 103-nucleotide small nuclear RNA. NCBI's taxonomy places the organism in Eukaryota, Metazoa, Chordata, Mammalia, Rodentia, Sciuridae. The record is from Ensembl.
UUGUUUUAGCAACAUGUAUAGAACAAUUAGAACAAUACAGAGAAGAUUAGCAUGGCUCUUGCACAAGGAUAACAUGCAAAUUUGUGAACCAGUUCACAUUUUU